RNAcentral lists this ribosomal RNA (781 nucleotides) under uncultured Neocallimastigales. RNAcentral's name for it is "partial large subunit ribosomal RNA". It matches the Rfam family "Eukaryotic large subunit ribosomal RNA", at positions 18 to 643 of the family's 3401-position model. Lineage: Eukaryota; Fungi; Neocallimastigomycota; Neocallimastigomycetes; Neocallimastigales. The record is from RNAcentral.
UCAGACGAUGCGUCAUGCAUAUCAAUAAGCGGAGGAAAAGAAACUAACAAGGAUUCCCUUAGUAACGGCGAGUGAAGCGGGAAGAGCUCAAAUUUGAAAUCUUCAAGGUUUUACCUUGACGAAUUGUAGUUUAAAGAAGUGUUUUCUGCUGAAGUUUUGGUAAAAGUUCUUUGGAAUAGGACAUCAUAGAGGGUGAGAAUCCCGUAUUUGAUCAUUAUGUUCAGCUUUGUGAUACACUUUCAAAGAGUCGGAUUGUUUGGGAAUGCAGUCCCAAAACGGGAGGUAAAUUUCAUUCUAAAGGCUAAAUAUUGGCGAGAGACCGAUAGCGAAGCAAGUACCGUGAGGGAAAGAUGAAAAGAACUUUGAAAAGAGAGUUAAAUAGUACGUGAAAUUGUCAAAAGGGAAGCGUUUAGACACCAGUGUUGUUUUCUCGAAAAUCAAUUAAAAAUGGCUCGAUUUUGUAUUGCUUUGAGACCUUAAAAGCUCACUGUACAUUUUUCGUGUCUUUUUUAAUGCACUUUUCGUUUAACAAGUCAACAUCAGUUUCUUUUGUUGUAAAAGGGUCAUUGGAAGGUGGCUUUCUUUUCGGAGAAAGUGUUUAUAGCCUUUGGCCUCUGCAAUCGGAGAGACUGAGGUCUGCAGCGUAGACUCUUCGGGGUUAGAUACAUUUGUGCUAAGUUAUAGCUUUUUAUAGACAACUUGUUGACUAUAAUUAGUCUUGUAGCUUACUCGCUUAUGCUAUUUUACCUACGCUUAGGAUGUUGACUGAUAUGUAGUCGUA